RNAcentral lists this ribosomal RNA (170 nucleotides) under uncultured rumen bacterium. RNAcentral's name for it is "partial 16S ribosomal RNA". It matches the Rfam family "Bacterial small subunit ribosomal RNA", at positions 340 to 524 of the family's 1533-position model. The record is from RNAcentral.
UACGGGAGGCAGCAGUGGGGAAUAUUGCACAAUGGGCGAAAGCCUGAUGCAGCAACGCCGCGUGAGGGAAGAAGGUUUUCGGAUUGUAAACCUCUGUCCCCUGUGACGAAGACAGUGACGGUAGCAGGGGAGGAAGCCACGGCUAACUACGUGCCAGCAGCCGCGGUAAU